RNAcentral lists this ribosomal RNA (521 nucleotides) under uncultured eukaryote. Its description in RNAcentral is "SSU rRNA". It matches the Rfam family "Eukaryotic small subunit ribosomal RNA", at positions 22 to 548 of the family's 1831-position model. The record is from RNAcentral.
AGUCAUAUGCUUGUCUCAAAGACUAAGCCAUGCAUGUCUAAGUAUAAGUGUUAUACAGCGAAACUGCGAAUGGCUCAUUAAAACAGUUAUAGUUUAUUUGACAAUCGAAUCUACAUGGAUAACCGUGGUAAUUCUAGAGCUAAUACAUGCUGGUGUGCCUGACUUUUGUGGAAGGGCGGUAUUUAUUAGAUAACAAGCCAAUAUUCCUCUGGUCUAUUGUGGUGAAUCAUAAUAACUGAUCGAAUCGCAAGGCUUAUGGCCGCGAUAAGUCAUUCAAGUUUCUGCCCCAUCAGCUUUCGAUGGUAGUGUAUUGGACUACCAUGGCGUUUACGGGUAACGGAGGAUUAGGGUUCGAUUCCGGAGAGGGAGCCUGAGAAACGGCUACCACAUCUAAGGAUGGCAGCAGGCGCGUAAAUUACCCAAUCCUGAUUCAGGGAGGUAGUGACAAGAAAUAACGGACCGGGGUCUUCGGACUUCGGGACCGCAAUGAGCCGAAUUUACACCCCUUAGCGAGAACCGAU